This 378-nucleotide ribosomal RNA is filed under the name uncultured bacterium. RNAcentral's name for it is "bacterial SSU rRNA". It matches the Rfam family "Bacterial small subunit ribosomal RNA", at positions 523 to 898 of the family's 1533-position model. The record is from RNAcentral.
AGACGUAGGGCGCAAGCGUUGUCCGGAUUUAUUGGGCGUAAAGAGCUCGUAGGCGGCUGGUCGCGUCGACUGUGAAAACCCACGGCUCAACUGUGGGCUUGCAGUCGAUACGGGCUGGCUUGAGUGCGGUAGGGGAGACUGGAAUUCCUGGUGUAGCGGUGAAAUGCGCAGAUAUCAGGAGGAACACCGGUGGCGAAGGCGGGUCUCUGGGCCGUUACUGACGCUGAGGAGCGAAAGCGUGGGGAGCGAACAGGAUUAGAUACCCUGGUAGUCCACGCCGUAAACGUUGGGCGCUAGGUGUGGGGGGCCUCUCCGGUUCUCUGUGCCGUAGCUAACGCAUUAAGCGCCCCGCCUGGGGAGUACGGCCGCAAGGCUAAA